AUGCAACGCGAAGAACCUUACCAAGGCUUGACAUACACGAGAACACUCUAGAAAUAGGGGACUCUUUGGACACUCGUGAACAGGUGGUGCAUGGUUGUCGUCAGCUCGUGUCGUGAGAUGUUGGGUUAAGUCCCGCAACGAGCGCAACCCUCGUUCUAUGUUGCCAGCACGUAAUGGUGGGAACUCAUGGGAUACUGCCGGGGUCAACUCGGAGGAAGGUGGGGAUGACGUCAAAUCAUCAUGCCCCUUAUGUCUUGGGCUUCACGCAUGCUACAAUGGCCGGUACAAAGGGCUGCAAUACCGUGAGGUGGAGCGAAUCCCAAAAAGCCGGUCCCAGUUCGGAUUGAGGUCUGCAACUCGACCUCAUGAAGUCGGAGUCGCUAGUAAUCGCAGAUCAGCAACGCUGCGGUGAAUACGUUCCCGGGUCUUGUACACACCGCCCGUCAAGUCAUGAAAGUCGGUAACACCUGAAGCCGGUGGCCCAACCCUUGUGGAGGGAGCCGUCGAAGGUGGGAUCGGUAAUUAGGACUAAGUCG
RNAcentral lists this ribosomal RNA (536 nucleotides) under Microbacterium sp. C2T9. RNAcentral describes it as "bacterial SSU rRNA". It matches the Rfam family "Bacterial small subunit ribosomal RNA", at positions 954 to 1488 of the family's 1533-position model. The record is from RNAcentral. Lineage: Bacteria; Bacillati; Actinomycetota; Actinomycetes; Micrococcales; Microbacteriaceae.